This is a long non-coding RNA of Saccostrea cuccullata (small rock oyster), 292 nucleotides long. RefSeq lists it as uncharacterized. The record is from RefSeq and is a predicted model, not a curated record. The transcript has 3 exons. NCBI's taxonomy places the organism in Eukaryota, Metazoa, Mollusca, Bivalvia, Ostreida, Ostreidae.
CUUAUUUUGAUUAUUUAAAUAGUUGCAGUGUGGACUCUGCCUGAGACGAUUCCCCAUAACGCCGGCUAUGUAGACUGCUUGUGAAAAUGGAAUCCAAAUGCUCACAAGAAAUGACAAAAGCAGUAUGAAGAUUAACACAACGAAAUUGUGCCAGGAAAGUUUGAAGUAGCUAUGGGAAUGAUCAACAUUGAACUUGCUGAGGCUCUCUUCCUGAAAGUGACUUGACCAGAUAUUUGGCUACCCAGUAUGAGGUACAAACUAAUCAUUUGUUGUACAACUUAUUGUGUAUGAG